This 400-nucleotide unclassified non-coding RNA is filed under the name uncultured fungus. RNAcentral describes it as "sequence contains ITS1". Lineage: Eukaryota; Fungi. The record is from RNAcentral.
UCCCGCGAUAGGAUUCUGUUUGACGACGAGACCGUCAUCCACGCCAUUAAACAGGACAGCCGCUCCGUUUGAAGUAUUGAUGAUUUGCGGCUGGCCAAUCCGCUCGGUUAUUUGUCCGCCGACUCUGUCCAACCUGUCUAACCUCCAGGUAAUGCUCUUCGCGGCAGGUGCAAUCGUAUUGAGCGGAACGGGAUCUUUCCUAAGAUGUUUGGCCAGGCUGAGUUUUAGUUCGCGGAUCGCCUGGACCGCCAGACCAGCCAUGAUCCCGGCUCCCACCGGCGAGAAAUGCGUGUUGUCUUCGAUACCCUUCGGAUAGUUCGGAUUCGCGUUGGGGCCGAGUUGCAGAAACAGAUCCCUUGAUCUUUCGACUCCAUAUUGCCUGAUUACCAUUUCACUCCGG